RNAcentral lists this long non-coding RNA (1091 nucleotides) under Amborella trichopoda. Its description in RNAcentral is "long non-coding RNA (ATRI_LNC002855)". The record is from RNAcentral. Lineage: Eukaryota; Viridiplantae; Streptophyta; Magnoliopsida; Amborellales; Amborellaceae.
AAGAUUAUGUCAUUUUCAUCAUAAAGCAUGAAUCAAAUGGGACUGUAACAAACCUGACAAAUUACCCAUGGAACUUUUGGGAGAGAAACAAGUAGAAACAAAAGAAUCAAAACUAAAUAAACACACUAAAAAAUGAUUAUAAACCUUACAAGAACACCAAUAGAACUGUUGGGGAAAGGAAAGUAGAGGCAAAAGAAUCAAAACUGAAUAACACAAUACAAAAUGAUGAGAAAACCUAAUCAGGUGAGCACAAGAAAAAGGCCACAAGGGCGUGAACUGUUACAACCAAGACCAAAACCUUCUACAUUAACAACCCAAAAAGGGGCCAAAAAUUAACAGACUACCAUUAUAAAUUAGAAAUUCUAAUAAGAUCUAUAUGUCACAAGAUACAUACAGUAAAUCCCAACAACCCUACAAUGGGAAAUCUUUUGUUAUGGACUCAAGAAGGAAGAUGAUUGUGAUCCCAUUUUCAGAUUUUCAGCUAUCAGACACGAACUUCUUCUCCGCAUAAUAUCUCUUUUCGCUUUCUUCCUUCUUCUUGUUACGUUUCUGGGUCAAAAAAGACAAAAUUCAGUAAGAGGAUUGGACAGAAAUACGUGAAUGCCUUUUCAGUGUCGUGCAGCAAACAGUUAUGCUGGUUUCUAUGACCAGAGGAUCUCAUUACACAACCAUAAGAAUGUUAAUGAGGGAAUCUAUUCAUCUAGUUCAUCAUGCAACUAUAAUGAGAAAUUAGCUAUUUCCAAGGAAGAGUAUACAAUAAAACUGUUCAGUAUGGUACAAGGACGUCAUAGUCAACCUUAGGCGUUAGAUGUAAAAUCUAACAAUUAAAAAGAACGUGUGAUUAUCUGCACUCAAUGUCCAAAAAUAAUUCUCGGAUUUUGUGAUACACCUCUAGCCCACUUAUUUUACAUCCGACAACUAGGAGUCCUUGUGAGCUUUUACCAAAAAUAAAUGGUUUCAUAGUAUACAAUCCCGAUUUCAAAUAAUGUAUCACUCUUUGGUUCGAGCUCCUCACUUGGCCUUGAAGGCCUCAGCAUAACAUCCAAGGUUUAAAUCUCACAAGAGAGAGAGAGAGAGAGAGAGAGAGAGAA